CUGUGGUGGCGGGGUUUGGGGGGCGUGUGGCACAUUCCUGGUGUCAGGGGCUGCAGGGGCUCGGCUCUCCCGGGCCCAGGAGACAGGUGAAACCCUCAGUUUGUUGGGUAGCGAAGGCAGGUAGCUCAGGAAGCAGAGUUCACGCUUGUCUCAAGCAGCCACCUGCCGCCCUGGGGACCUGGAGCAGUGGCCCAGGAGGUUGUGGUUACUGAGAGUACCGAUGCUGAUCCAUCUGAUCUGAGCCUUUUCUCUGAACAACUUCCAUAGGACAGUGCAGGACCUGCAGAGUUGUGGCUUUUUGGCAUUAUCCUGGACUUGAAGAGCUUGCUUUUCUCCCAAAUUUCUGAAAAUUUUGGUCUUGU
This 362-nucleotide long non-coding RNA is filed under the name Serinus canaria (Common canary). Its description in RNAcentral is "lncRNA (ENSSCAG00000014066.1)". The record is from RNAcentral. Lineage: Eukaryota; Metazoa; Chordata; Aves; Passeriformes; Fringillidae.